GGAGCUCUCUCUCUCUCUCCCUCACCCUCGUUUGUCUCUUCACAGGGUGAUGAGGGAGCAACGCUGUGGGCGGUAGAGGAGGUGCGUGGCAGUCCAGGAAGCUCUCAUUCUGCUGCUGCGUGCUGCUUCGCUGUCGUCCGGCUUCACCCAAGUCUCCUUCACUCUCUUGCUGUUCGUGUGUGUCAGAGUUGCCUUCCCCUGCCUCCUCUCUCCUCCCCACUCAUUGAUUCCUCUUUCCGCCUGCCUCUCGUGUUCUCCCUCUAUGCCUCUCUGAUCCUUCUCCCUCUUAUUUCUCGUUCUUUCUUGCUCUUCUCGCUUUGCCGUUUCCCUUUUUGCGCCUCUCCUCGUCUUCUUCACCAGCCAGGGUAAGACACAUGCAGCCUACUCUGCACCGCCUGUGAGGUCAAGGCCAGGUCACCCCGCAAUAACUUUUGGGAGAAAAAAAUCCAAGAGAGGAAAACUGUGAUGUGUCCAAUACAGCUCUUCUUGUGCGCCAGAAGUGAUCUUGGGAGGAGCGAGCCGGCCUUUCUGGGGACUCCUGACAGCAUGAUGCAGAGACCAUGUGCACUGGCUGGCACAUGGUAUCAGGAGGCUGGCCUGAAGCCAGGUACAGUGCACAGCGCUACUGGGUCAGGCCUAAGUUACUGACAGAUAGCCCAUCAACUUUUAAAUCUUUAUUUACUGUGCAAAAUCAGCUGAACAGGCUUCUUUCCCAGCCAACUCCCUGUUCACUAUUCCUGCAGAGGCAACCAGGACUACAGCCCACAUACCUGGGGGUAGGACAAGGUAUGUUUUGGACCUCAUGUCUUAGAAGAGUUGCACUGAUGGCCAGACCUAACACACUAAACAUCUAUAUUCAUGUACACACACACACAAUUGAAAUGCUACAUGUCAAUACAUCUCCUGACAGAUUAAGACUGACUACAAGCAAUUGACUUGAAGACAUUAGUAAACACCACAACACACACAGUAAGACAUCACAGAGCAUUUUCCACAAGAUCUUAAAAAGAAAAGAAAAGUCUUAAUGAGCCUAUACCCUCCGGGAAUUUCUGUAAAUAUGAAAUGUUUUCUGUGUGCUUCUAUGACAAGAACCUGACCUACAUGUGACUUUGAGGUUUUGGGGCAUGGUCCCAUAAAAUGUAAUUUUGUAUAUAUUGUUAUUGUUCCAUUCUGAUCCCUCUCGGCCAAAGGCAAAGCUACUUUGGCCGAGAUAAGUUUACAUACAUACAACAUAAGUUUAUUCAAGUAUGGUGUGAAAUAUGUGGGUGAGUGUGUGUAGGCUACAACACAAUAUGGCUUUAAAUUUGCAUGUUGAACCGAUAACCUAAAUAAAAGUUAUAUACAACUGACCAACUGGAA
Molecule: long non-coding RNA, 1359 nt
Organism: Micropterus dolomieu (smallmouth bass)
Lineage: Eukaryota; Metazoa; Chordata; Actinopteri; Centrarchiformes; Centrarchidae
Exons: 2
Source: RefSeq, a predicted model, not a curated record